RNAcentral lists this ribosomal RNA (433 nucleotides) under uncultured bacterium. RNAcentral's name for it is "partial 16S ribosomal RNA". It matches the Rfam family "Bacterial small subunit ribosomal RNA", at positions 38 to 507 of the family's 1533-position model. The record is from RNAcentral.
AAAGAAAGAGGGAGGCAGGAAGAAAAAAGGAAAGUAGAACGAGAAUUUUGGGUCUAGUGGAGCAGGGGUGAGUAACGUGUGGGAACCUGCCGUUAGGUUGGGAAUAACUCCCCGAAAGGGGUGCUAAUACCGGAUAAUGUCUUCGGACCAAAGAUUUAUCGCCUUUGGAUGGGCCCGCGUUGGAUUAGCUAGUUGGUAGGGUAAAAGCCUACCAAGGCGACGAUCCAUAGCUGGUCUGAGAGGAUGAUCAGCCACACUGGGACUGAGACACGGCCCAGACUCCUACGGGAGGCAGCAGUGGGGAAUAUUGGACAAUGGGCGAAAGCCUGAUCCAGCAAUGCCGCGUGAGUGAUGAAGGCCUUAGGGUUGUAAAGCUCUUUUACCCGGGAUGAUAAUGACAGUACCGGGAGAAUAAGCGCCGGCUAACUCCGUC